This 254-nucleotide ribosomal RNA is filed under the name uncultured bacterium. Its description in RNAcentral is "partial 16S ribosomal RNA". It matches the Rfam family "Bacterial small subunit ribosomal RNA", at positions 524 to 776 of the family's 1533-position model. The record is from RNAcentral.
UACGAAGGGGGGCUAGCGUUGCUCGGAAUCACUGGGCGUAAAGGGCGCGUAGGCGGACUUUUAAGUCAGGGGUGAAAUCCUGAGGCUCAACCUCAGAACUGCCUUUGAUACUGAGGGUCUCGAGACCGGUAGAGGUAAGUGGAACUGCGAGUGUAGAGGUGAAAUUCGUAGAUAUUCGCAAGAACACCAGUGGCGAAGGCGGCUUACUGGACACAUAUUGACGCUGAGGUGCGAAAGCGUGGGGAGCAAACAGG